GGCCGAAAGGCGUAGUCGAUGGAUAACAGGUAGAGAUUCCUGUACUGUGUCAAAUCGUUAAGAGCGAAGGAGGGACGCAGGAGGUGAAGCACGCAUCGCGAUGGAACGAUGUUCAAGCAACAAGUGCGGUUAAGAGUCAAAUGCUUCUAACCAGCAACACGAGUUGUGAAGAGGAGUGAAUUAAAAGUAGCGAAGGUGUGGUAAUCACACUGCCAAGAAAAGCUUCUAGCCAGAGAUGACAUACCCGUACCGCAAACCGACACAGGU
RNAcentral lists this ribosomal RNA (267 nucleotides) under Chloropicon mariensis. Its description in RNAcentral is "partial Bacterial large subunit ribosomal RNA". It matches the Rfam family "Bacterial large subunit ribosomal RNA", at positions 1400 to 1664 of the family's 2925-position model. The record is from RNAcentral. Lineage: Eukaryota; Viridiplantae; Chlorophyta; Chloropicophyceae; Chloropicales; Chloropicaceae.